CAAUAUAAAUAGAGAGAGAUAUGCGCUAACAUACCUCUCAAUGUAGAACCGUUAUAAAGACGGUGACUAGAAUUUAAUGAUUUUUUCAAA
This 90-nucleotide small RNA is filed under the name Brochothrix thermosphacta. Its description in RNAcentral is "RatA". It matches the Rfam family "RNA anti-toxin A". Lineage: Bacteria; Bacillati; Bacillota; Bacilli; Caryophanales; Listeriaceae. The record is from RNAcentral.